UACGUAGGGGGCAAGCGUUGUCCGGAAUUAUUGGGCGUAAAGAGCGCGUAGGCGGUCCGGUAAGUCGGUUGUGAAAGUCGGGGGCUCAACCCUCGGAUGCCGAUCGAUACUGUCGGGCUAGAGUCCGGAAGAGGCGAGUGGAAUUCCUGGUGUAGCGGUGAAAUGCGUAGAUAUUGGGAAGAACACCUGAGGCGAAGGCGGGUUGCUGGGCCGACACUGACGCUGAGGCGCGAAAGCCAGGGGAGCGAACGGG
RNAcentral lists this ribosomal RNA (253 nucleotides) under uncultured bacterium. Its description in RNAcentral is "partial 16S ribosomal RNA". It matches the Rfam family "Bacterial small subunit ribosomal RNA", at positions 524 to 776 of the family's 1533-position model. The record is from RNAcentral.